AAACCCCUAGGUUUCACUCACUAGCACCCACCUAUCAUCCGAAAACCUCCCGAACCCCUCUCACAACUUCGAUCAUCUCUCGCCUUCUCCAUCACUGCCGGCGCCCCUCAUUCUCUUCCUCUACCCGAUUGGGAGAGGACAGGCUCCCUCUUCCGCCUCCAUCUCAUCUAUAGCCGACGCUAACGCACACAAUAGGAGCUUCAUCCCAGAAUCCGCAGGCCAUCUCAUCUCCUCUACCAUCUUCCUCGCCGUUGACGUCAAGGUCUUCUCACAGAGCUUCCAGAUCUGAAAGCCAUCUCACGGUGCCUUCAUCUUUAGCCCACAGCUUCUUCCAAUUGGGAGAGGCGCCACCACCGAACUCUACAUCACCCUCUCCUGAUUAGUAGAGGUCUCUUCGCCACCACUAGUUUCCUUCCACCUCUCCAUUUCGGAUUUGAAGAGUAAAGCUUCAUCACUAGCCAGCAACCCCUCUCCUCUUCGGAUUUGAAGAGGAGAGUUCAUCCAUCCUUCAACAACCCCUUUAUCUUCAGAUUCGAAGAGAAGGUUUCAUUCUCCAUUGACGAGCAGCCAUCCACUUUGUCCACAGCCUUCGCUGGUAGAUUGGCCAUCAGAGAAGCUCCAUCCAGCAGCCCCCUCUCCACUUCGGAUUCGAAGAGGAGAGUUCUAUUCCGAUCCAUGCCUAUGACAUUGGGUUAUUUCUAUAUAUGUUGAAUUGUGUUAUUCUUGUUGAUUGUUGAAUUGUAACGUAGCUAUUCUCUCAUGUUUAGAAUUGCAUGUAAUUUUGCUUAAUUGAAUUCUCGCUCGUUAUGUGUUUGAUGAAAUGCCUCUUUCAUUAGUUAGUUUCUAAACUUGCAUCUUCUUUGGUUUGAAUUAUUGUGAUGAUUAGUUAGUUGAAUGUUUUAGGUUAGAUUAGAUUAGAUUAGUUGAAUUUUGACAAAUUUAUUCAUGUGGAAGUUUAUUUCUAAUAUUUCCUAAAUUUUUGAAUACUCAAAAAUAGAUUGAAGAGGAAUGAAAAUGCUCAAAAAUAGAUGUGGGGAAUGUGCUCGACGAGGUCACAUUUUGACACUCAAGUCAAAAAAAUGAACAUUAGGGACUUAGUGCAUACCUAAACUUCAUUGGCCGUGGUGCCUUUCAUUGGCUAGAUUGUCCAAUUUUCAACUGCUGAAAGUGUUGGACUUCAUCGGACAGUCUUAACAAGUAUCUGUUUCAUGUUGGUUGGAGCACAACUAAAAAUGAUGGUUCUGCUGUGCCAUCUAGGUUAUCAAUGGUUUGUUUUUUUCAUUGCUUAUGUGUGAUUUUGGUCAAGAGUUCUGAUAUUUGUGCUCGAGAGAGGAUUUUGAACAUUAUUUUUGACCAAAAUACUCUAGUCAUCAAGCUGUACACAGUGAGUUCUUCUUAUAUCCACAUAGAUUUACAUGGUCCAAAUAUAUCUAUUGACGUGCAAACAUAGUCUAUUUCUUGAAGCUUGAUCUCUUCAUAUAUAUAUGCCUCUUGCAUGGAAUAAUGUUUUUAGAUAUUCAUAUGUAAAUUUUCUUGUCAUUGCAUAUCAUAGCAACCAAUGCUGAUGCACAAGAAGUCAAAAACAAUUUCAUUUUAUCAAAUUGGACUUGUAAAAGAAAUAGGGAUCUAUAGCUGCAUCAAUUUUCGACCUUUUAGUUAGCUUGCUAGAUUUGAAGUCCUCAAUUGUUUUUUCCCAGAAUCUACCAAUAAUUUGAGGAGCAGAUCUAGUGGAACAAAUCAAACUGCCCUCUUUGUUUAGCAAUUGUUUCCUCGAUCUUACUUAGCAGAUCUAGUGGAAUGAAUUAUGCUGCCCUCUUGGUUUAACAAUUGUUUCCUUGAUCUGACUAUUCUUGGAUCGGUUGGACCGACUAGAGGGGAUGAAUAGCCCUGUAAAGUAGAAUAAUGAAUCUUGUCGAGAACCAGUUGACAAUUGCCACUCUUUUGAAUACUCAUUAUACUGAUCUCUCAUAUGUUAGGGAAACUAAGCAUUGGCCUCCGAGCUUAAUCGAUUCCUUGUAGCAUUUCAUCACACUUUCUUAACAAGCUCCAAUAUCUUGCUUGGUUGAUAAAUGGUGAUGCAUUAAGUCUUUUUCAAUGCGGAUGUUAAUGGGUCAUAAACAAAUUUUGUGUAUCACUUCUAAAGGACAUCAUAUCACAGGUAAAUUCUAAAGGAUACGUAUGAUAUGCUUGUUUAAGUUGAUUACAUAUGAUUUUUCUUCUUCAUUGCAAGUAACUUUUAUGUGAGAUAUAAAUUUUCAGUAAUAUAUAUAUUCUGCAUUGCUGAUAACACACAUGCCAAACAUACAAUUUUUACUUUAAGCCUCUUCUCAAGUGCAAUGAGAAAGCCACAUAUAAACAUAGCUAAGUGAUGCUCAAAAUUGCUUGCAUGAUGCUCUUUGAGGAGACAUUGAUAAGCGAAGAGGAGGAUUAAGAAGCACUACUUGAUCAGAAUAUGGAGGAUUAAGAUGCAGAAUAUAGAAAAAUAAAAGUCCAUGGCUGCAUAUAUCAAGAGAGAGGUUUGUUCUGCCUUGGUGCAACUUAUAGAAGUUCGACCAUCAUUCCUAGAGUGCCUUUUCAGAUAUUUUAAAGGUAAAUGGAGGUAUUCAAAAACUCCAGCUAAAUAGCUUGGGUAUGGAUGAUUACAGGAGCAACAACUACAUACUAUGUGGCACUACAUCCGAACCUCAUGGGUGUGAUUGGGAAGUAGUUCGACGAAGAACUAUCAAGAAGGCUAUGAGAUUUAAGUGAGAAUAUGGUUAAAGUCAAUGAGUAAAGAACAUUCAAGUCAAGAGGAUAAGUAGCAUCUAUAAAUAUCCUUUAAGUUCAUGUAAUAAGAUGUAGACGAUAGAAGUAGUUUUCAGUGUCUCCUAAUUAAAAUUUCUUUGUAUGCAAGUAAUUAUGCUUGUUAUAAAGUGUAUGGAUGAUAAUUUAUAUAUUUAUCUUGGUUGUUUAUUUAAUAAUA
Long non-coding RNA from Zingiber officinale, 2962 nucleotides. RefSeq lists it as uncharacterized. The record is from RefSeq and is a predicted model, not a curated record. The transcript is spliced from 3 exons. Lineage: Eukaryota; Viridiplantae; Streptophyta; Magnoliopsida; Zingiberales; Zingiberaceae.